This 425-nucleotide ribosomal RNA is filed under the name uncultured bacterium. RNAcentral's name for it is "partial 16S ribosomal RNA". It matches the Rfam family "Bacterial small subunit ribosomal RNA", at positions 354 to 796 of the family's 1533-position model. The record is from RNAcentral.
GUGGGGAAUCUUAGACAAUGGGGGAAACCCUGAUCUAGCCAUGUCGCGUGAGCGAUGAAGGCCUUAGGGUUGUAAAGCUCUUUCAGAUGGGAAGAUAAUGACGGUACCAUCAGAAGAAGCCCCGGCUAACUCCGUGCCAGCAGCCGCGGUAAUACGGAGGGGGCUAGCGUUGUUCGGAAUUACUGGGCGUAAAGCGCACGUAGGCGGACCAGAAAGUCAGAGGUGAAAUCCCAGGGCUCAACCUUGGAACUGCCUUUGAAACUCCUGGUCUUGAGGUCGAGAGAGGUGAGUGGAAUUCCGAGUGUAGAGGUGAAAUUCGUAGAUAUUCGGAGGAACACCAGUGGCGAAGGCGGCUCACUGGCUCGAUACUGACGCUGAGGUGCGAAAGCGUGGGGAGCAAACAGGAUUAGAUACCCGUGUAGUCC